UGUUCUGUCCGUUUUAUAAUUGCCAAUACGGACCUGAAAAACAAAGGAGACCGCUAGCUAGGUGAUAACUUCUCACGGGGACGCACAGUUAGUAACAUUUUUUAAAAGUAAAGCAACCGGAAGGCAGUACGUUCUUUAUUCUGAAAAUCUCUGUAGCUUCUCUCCAUUUCCGCGUCCGAUUUCCUGUCUUUCCUUCCCCAAAAAUGUCGAACUUGACCCGUUUCAGAGGCGUCGCGCGUAGAAAAUAGAUCCGGCGCGUAAAGGCCGCGACAUGCUGCUCCUGAGACGCGGCCGACUCGCGCUGCUGACGGCUGCCGACGGCUCCGGUGGAAAAGGUUCUGUUGACCACAGCGGUUCCUAUCAGCAGCUAUGACGUGCUGCUGCAGUAACGUGCUGCUGACGGCUCCCGUGGAAAGCCGGGGUCAGGGGGUUAUCAACGGAGGAGCUCCUUAAAAAGUUGAUGGAAGAAGGCAUUGAUGUGUCAGACGACGAGGCGCAAAGAUUUAAGAGGUAAGUCGGGUGUGAUUUUGUGUUUUUAUAAAAAUUACAACGUGUAAUUUUACAGUAGUUAGCAAAAGUCCGAAGAGCUACAUUUCACAUGGGUGAAAGCUAGCAGUUAGCUAAAUUUUAAACAAAGAAAGGUACAAAUGUGGACUAUUUAGACUGUUGGUGGAAUGUUCAACGUCUGUCUGCCUGCCGUAUUCGAGUGUUUUAUCAAUAAAUAGUGACUAACCCUGUACAACAAUGUAAAAAAAAAAAAUCAAUAAUUUCUCAAAACAUGCUAGUAUGUAAAUAUAGCUAUUAACAAAAUCGUUUUCUAAGCAAAUUUAUCGCAUCCAACUUGUUUCCCGCUCAAAGGGAUUUUAAACAAUGGAAGGUACACAUUUGUACCAUCCCACCUACUUAGUGAGAUUUUUGAAUAUGAUGAGAGCUGUAAGCUCUGCGCAGGGACACUGUCUGCAAAAACCUGUGAUGCCAGCUAGCUGCUGAUCAGGGAUCGAUUUAUCAUUUCAAAUAAACCAAAAUCAAGGAGGCAAAUUGUGGGCAGCAAAAACAGACAAGAUAGUCUAGGGUUCUAUUCUAUCCACAACUUGGAUUAUUGUUUUGGUUGCAAUGAAUAAUGCCUACAGCCAACAGGCAAUCGGUGCAAGGAUUUCCCCACAAAAGAAAAAAAUGUUGUGUACUACAACAUUUUAUUGAUGAUUUAAAAUUCACUUCAGCAAUGUAUCCGGCUUGCAACGUGAUUAAACAAUGUCACGAUAUUGUUGCAGUCAGGUCAGGUCACAAUGUUACCAGUUAAUUUAUAUUAACAAUUAAUCAAGAUAAUUUAUUGUGACUUCCUUUUGGGGAAUAUAGACAGAUUCACAAUGAUAGCUUAUUGUUGUUGUUGUUGUUGUUAUUAUGAUGUAUUGACCAUAAUGUCACUUUAAAACUAAAUUUGAAAAUUAUUUCAUACUGUACUUUAUAUUUCAGAUAACGAUGUAGAUGGAGAGACGGUAGACUGUGGACUCACUGAGACCAUGGUUGCAUAUCUUUUUGACAAGUCUUUCAAAAAGCAGCUGAAGUUCAGAGACUUCACAAAUCGCUACAAGGAAGUCAUCAUCACUUUACAACCGGUCGACCCAUUUGAAGGUACAGUUGAAGGUCCAGUGUCCCAAGCAAACCAGAGGUAGGUUGUGAUAAAUGUCUAAAUUUGCAUAUGCAUUUAAGUGCUUGUAAAAUGGCUAGUUGAUGCUGUUUUCCUACUGUAUUGCAGUUCUAUACCUUCUUGCCCUAGACUGCCUGCAGUUAUUUCCAUUCCAAAAUUCCCACAAGAUGUCCAGAGUCGCUUGAAUCUCAAAGAACCAGUCCAGAAAGAACAGAAGUACUGAAACAAAAUAAUUGGGACUCUUUAUGAAAUGCUGUCACAGUACACAAUGUACCCAACCCACUCAGACUACAUCCAGGUCAUCAAAGCCCUGAUUGUGAAGUAUCCUUUCUUAAGAGAUGUACACGGAAAUGGUUAUGUGAGUACCUCUCCUUUUUUGCUUCUUUUAUAGAUUAUAUUAAUAUAAGGUAAGCAUAAUUAACAUCUUAUAUACAUUUGAAACAACUAUGACACCUGGCACAGCCAACUCAAGAGAAAGUUCAAAGCAGAACGGGCUCCCCUAAUCAGCAACGAAGAAGUGAACCGGGUUAAAGAAAAGUUUGGACGCACGCAGAAACAUCGGACCACAGAGGAAUCCAGCAGCUCCUGUCUGAAGAGACUGAAGCCCUCUCUCGAUUCGUGCUUUGUGGGGGAAGAUGCAGCCUCCGUUGAUGCUCAUAUCAAGGUACUAAAUGAUCAGCACAAGAAGCUACAUCCUGACACAGCACUGGUGAAAGACCGCAUGACAAAAACCUUUGCAUGGAGACGUCGAGAGGUAGCUGAAGGAAUGUGUACUGUGGACCUAUUAAAGAGAUAUCCAUUCCUGGGGACACCCACAGGGGUAAGGACUGUUAAGAUGAUUGGGGAAUAAGCUAAUGAUUUUUUUUUGUCUCUAAAUCUGAUUAUUAUUUUCUGUACUAACAGAUUAAUCAAUCUGUUUUUUUAUCUUUAGAAUGUUUGUUCAAGGGUUAAAGCACUUUACGUUUAUCUCCAGUCUGUGUCUUUAACCCUCCCACUGUCUUUAUGGGUGACCCCACGAGGAA
This is a non-coding RNA of Nothobranchius furzeri (turquoise killifish), 2670 nucleotides long. The record is from RefSeq and is a predicted model, not a curated record. NCBI's taxonomy places the organism in Eukaryota, Metazoa, Chordata, Actinopteri, Cyprinodontiformes, Nothobranchiidae.